CUAUCCCUUGUAGAUGACAAAAUGCAACAACACAGAGUAUCUGCACAAUGAUCGUUUUCGAUUCUUGUUCUUGAUAUCUUCCUCCUCUGCAGUUCUCCGCCUUCACACAAUCUGAUACCAGAUUCAGAAAAAGGGUUGAUAUUAACUUGAUUGAGCUAUCAGAAAAUGCAGGGCUAUUGGCAAAAACAGAUAUCUACAAGCACAUACUCCAUAACUAUGUAAAUGUUAUUGGCAUCUUCAAAUGCACCGUGGAAAUGGACCAGAUUCUUGUGCCCGGACAAUGCUUUCAGUAUCUUUACCUCCCGGCGAACAUCUUCGAUUGCAAUGGUCGAUGUCAUCUGCCAAACCAAAUAAGUCCGAGCAGCGAGUUGGCAUCAAAAUAAUAUUGAGCUGAAGAAAUGAGUAUUGAACUAGACGAACCUUAGAUUUAGAGAUGAUUUUGACGGCCACAGGCUUUCCUUUGAGGUCGCCUUUUUUACCCUUAGCCC
Cucurbita pepo subsp. pepo (vegetable marrow) is the source of this 488-nucleotide non-coding RNA. Lineage: Eukaryota; Viridiplantae; Streptophyta; Magnoliopsida; Cucurbitales; Cucurbitaceae. The record is from RefSeq and is a predicted model, not a curated record.